This 434-nucleotide ribosomal RNA is filed under the name Rhynchocyon udzungwensis (grey-faced sengi). RNAcentral describes it as "partial 12S ribosomal RNA". It matches the Rfam family "Bacterial small subunit ribosomal RNA", at positions 906 to 1533 of the family's 1533-position model. The record is from RNAcentral. Lineage: Eukaryota; Metazoa; Chordata; Mammalia; Macroscelidea; Macroscelididae.
GGACUUGGCGGUGCUUUAUAUCCACCUAGAGGAGCCUGUUGUAUAAUCGAUAAACCCCGCUAAACCCUACCAUCAUUUGCUAAUCCAGUCUAUAUACCGCCAUCUUCAGCAAACCCUUAAAAGGAACCAAAGUAAGCUUAAUUAUACUUAAUAAAAACGUUAGGUCAAGGUGUAACUUAUAUGAUGGAAACUAAUGGGCUACAUUCUCUUUAAAAGAGUACUACGAACACCCUUAUGAAAAGUAAAGGUUAAAGGAGGAUUUAGUAGUAAGCCAAGAAUAGAGAGCUUGACUGAAUUAGGCCAUGAAGCACGCACACACCGCCCGUCACCCUCCUCAAAUGUUAUCUAAACAUAAACAUAUUAAAAUUGAAAUAAACACAAGAGGAGACAAGUCGUAACAAGGUAAGCAUACUGGAAAGUGUGCUUGGAUUAUU